This 806-nucleotide ribosomal RNA is filed under the name Sinopoda sp. fujian S2072. RNAcentral's name for it is "SSU rRNA". It matches the Rfam family "Eukaryotic small subunit ribosomal RNA", at positions 974 to 1798 of the family's 1831-position model. Lineage: Eukaryota; Metazoa; Arthropoda; Arachnida; Araneae; Sparassidae. The record is from RNAcentral.
UAAUCAAGAACGAAAGUUAGAGGUUCGAAGGCGAUCAGAUACCGCCCUAGUUCUAACCAUAAACGAUGCCAGCCAGCGAUCCGGCUGUGUUCCUCAAAUGACACGCCGGGCAGCUUCCGGGAAACCAAAGCUUUUGGGUUCCGGGGGAAGUAUGGUUGCAAAGCUGAAACUUAAAGGAAUUGACGGAAGGGCACCACCAGGAAUGGAGCCUGCGGCUUAAUUUGACUCAACACGGGAAAACUUACCCGGCCCGGACACAGGAAGGAUUGACAGAUUAAGAGCUCUUUCUUGAUUCUGUGGGUGGUGGUGCAUGGCCGUUCUUAGUUGGUGGAGCGAUUUGUCUGGUUAAUUCCGAUAACGAACGAGACUCUAGCCUACUAAAUAGACGUUCCGAUCAUCUCCGUCGGACGUUCUUCUUAGAGGGACAAGCGGCGUUUAGCCGCACGAGACAGAGCAAUAACAGGUCUGUGAUGCCCUUAGAUGUCCGGGGCCGCACGCGCGCUACAUUGAAGGAAUCAGCGUGUGCUUUCCCUGUCCGACAGGACUGGGUAACCCGUUGAACCUCCUUCGUGCUGGGGAUAGGGGCUUGUAAUUGUUCCCCUUGAACGAGGAAUUCCCAGUAAGCACGAGUCAUAAGCUCGUGUUGAUUACGUCCCUGCCCUUUGUACACACCGCCCGUCGCUACUACCGAUUGAAUGAUUUAGUGAGGUCUUCGGACUGGCGCUCGGAGCGGCCCUCGGGUCGCGCCGGCGUGCCGGAAAGAUGACCAAACUUGAUCAUUUAGAGGAAGUAAAAGUCGUAACAAG